This 788-nucleotide long non-coding RNA is filed under the name Mus spicilegus (steppe mouse). RNAcentral's name for it is "lncRNA (ENSMSIG00000001123.1)". Lineage: Eukaryota; Metazoa; Chordata; Mammalia; Rodentia; Muridae. The record is from RNAcentral.
CCGCGCUGCCUGUCAAGGCGCCGUCGCCCGCCCUCGGCGGCCCCUCCCCAACCGCUCGCUCGCUCGCCACCACAGCAGCAGCGGGCGUCAACAAUCCGCCUCCGGAAGCGGAAACCCCACCUCUCCGGCGCGCCAGGCUUGGGGAGCCGGGCGGGCGGUUGGUGGUGCUUUGUGAGUUGGUUCCUGGGCUACGCGAUGUUUCUCGGGGGUCCUCUGUGCAUGCUGCACCUAAUGGCUUGAACAUGACAGUGAUGCCGAGAGUCAAUCCUGUCUUUCCUCUGGGAGACAGAAAAGACAUCACUUUUGGCCUUUAAGAAAUUCAUCUGCUUCAAGGGAAAGUCUUCCAUGAAACACUUGAACACCUAUUCACGAUCAUCACUAGCAGCAGGAAACAUAGCUCAACACCACCAGCUGUGCAACCUGCGACACUCCUUUCCCAGCUUCAGAGACCUUUAUUUAGAACCCAAGGCUUGCUGGUUGGUUCCUGUAGCAUCCAUGAACAUUACCCACGAAAUCUGGCACAAGGAAAGACUGUCGUAGGGUUAAGACUCGAUCUCACUUGGAAAUAUGAGACUGGGGUGAAGGAAAAGCAAAGUCAGCUGAACGGGAGCAGGGUACGUGGAGAAAACGACUAUCACAUAAAGGGGAAAGUCUAUUAUGUUGGGUGGUGUUUGGUUGGGGCAAACAUGUGAAGGAGUGUUUUCCUGAACUGGACACAGAUUUAGGUAGAGUUGUGAGGGAACGCUUGACUAAAGUAGACCCAGGUGAACGGAUGUUCUGCUAAAGCA